GGGAAGUGGAAGUUCGUUAACGUCCCCCCCCCCCUCUCUCUCUCUCGAUGAUCGAAGGUUCCGAAUCAUAAAGAGAUCGACGGAGCACCAGAUCUUUUCUUUCUCAGCGUCAUCAUUGUUCUGCAUCAGGUUUUGCUGAUAUCGGAGAAGAACGAAGGAACAAAAAGAAAGAGAUCGACAGAGUUCACCAGACCUUUCCGUUCUCAGCAUCGCCAUUGGCUGUGCGAAUUCUUCAAAGUGGUGAUUCAGAGGAUUUACCUGAAAUAGUGGAGGGGCAAACAAGUUCCUAUGAUAAUAUUACAGAAAUAGAAGGAACACAAGAUGGUUAUGAUGAUAACAAAAUUGCAGAUGUAUACUUGCAAAGGGCAUUAUCUGUUCUUCUUGAUGUUACUUUGUUGGAAGGUUUGGAACACAGUCUUGAGGUUCUUCGAGUUGCUGCAAUAGAAGACCAUCUGCAGGAAGGUGUUCUUGAAACAAUCGAUAUGCUUCGGGAAGUUGGAAUCAACUUUUGGAUGCUUACUGGUGAUAAACAAAAUACAGCCAUUCUGAUAGCACUCUCUUGCAACAUAAUUUCUCCUGAUCUUCAGUAUGUGGAUGAAGGGAAGACGCCCUUGAUCUUGUUUUGUGCUACUGUUGGUGGAGACUCAGGCCUACACAGAUGGUGUAGGCAUACGUGAGAAAGCUAAUAGGAAGACUGCUACCAUCCAGAUCUAAUAUUAGAUCAUGCAGAGCCAAAAGGACAACUUCUGUUAAUGAAUGGGAUGACAGAAGAUGAAGUUGCAAUGAGCUUGGAAAGGGUGUUGCUUACAAUGUAAAUAAGCACUUCAGAGCCUAAGGUUUGGAACACAGUCUUGAGGUUCUUUGAGUUGCUGCAAUAGAAGACCGUCUGUAGGAAGGUGUUCCUGAAACAAUCGAUCUGCUUCGGGAGGCUGGAAUCAACUUUUGGAUGCUUACUGGCGAUAAACAAAAUACAGCCAUUCAGAUAGCGCUCUCGUGCAACCUAAUUUCUCCUGGUGAUCAAUCUUGUAAAUGCUCCAUCAAUUGUUGGCAAGCAUUUAGACGGUCUCUUUGUUUCUUCUUUUUUUCAUGUUGAGAAGAGAUUUGCAGAGCUGCUGGAUGCAAGCCCAUCCUUGCCGUAUCUGAUCUUCUGGAAUCCAGCCAAAUUCUUGCCUCUUUUUGAUGAAGCCGCGACAUGGCCCAGGAACUGGUGUUUGAAGCAUGCAAAAGUUGCAAGGAGAUGGUGUUGAAGGAGUCCUUGCAUAUGCACAUGGUUAUGUGGGCGGUUCUCCAUUGGAGUGUUCCAAAGUUUUUCCAAGAAUUGGUUCUUUGAGACUGAAACACAGAGGGAUUAGUCUCACUCUGAAGGGACCAUGAUUAGAUGUGGACCCAUGUAGAUGACAGAAGGCAACAUAGAAUAUGAAUUCAGAAAAUGCAAGCACAUGCCCGCAGCUGCCUCCCUUGGUUGCCUCCUCCUGCUAGCUGCUCGUCGUCUUUCUCGCCCUCAGAGUCUCCUUCUCCCCUCGUCGUCUCUCUCGCCCUCUGAGUCUCCUUCUCCCCUCCUCGUCUCUCUCGACCUCUCACUCUCCUGCUCCCCUCCUCGUCUCUCUUGCCCUAGAAGAAGCCCUCCGUCUCUUCCUCUCUCGAUUGUUCCUCUGUGAGCAGAUCUGCAAGGUUUUCAUCGAAAGGUUAGUGUUUGAACAUGAAUGGUGAAGAUUUAGGGUUUUGUUGUUUUUCUGGAUUCGAUGGUCAGCUUUUGGUGUUGCGAACCCUUUGCUUGGCAUGGCGAGAAUUAUCAGAAGAUGAAUAUAGAGAAUGGUCUGUGUUGUUUAAAGAGGCUAAUGCUUCUCUAGUUGACAGGGAGGUGAGCUGUUUAGUUUUGAGAUCUUGAUUUUUCUCUACUUUCUGGUUUCUGUUCAAGUGAUUCUUUUUUACUGAACUCUGGCUUUGGUGAAAUGUUUGAGUCGUAUAAUGAAGAUGUAAAGUUUGUCAAUGCAUGCAAAUCAUUCCCUUUAGUGGAGAAGUGCUGAAGUUUGCCAACGUUUGGAACACAGUCUUGAGGUUCUUGGAGUUGCUGCAAUAGAAGACCGUCUGCAGGAAGGUGUUCCUGAAACAAUCGAUCUGCUUCGGGAGGCUGGAAUCAACUUUUGGAUGCUUACUGGUGAUAAAUAAAAUACAGCCAUUCAGAUAGCGCUCUCUUGCAACCUAAUUUCUCCUGAUCUUCAGUAUGUAGAUGAAGGGAAGACGCCCUUGAUCUUGUUUUGUGCUGUUGUUGGUGGAGACUCAGGCCUGCACAAAUGGUGUAGGCAUACGUGAGAAAGCUAAUAAGAAGACUACUACCAUCCAGAUCUAAUAGUAUGGUUCCUUUUGAUAAACUUGUUGAUGUUGUUUCUGUUCGACCUGAUCCUGCUUAUUUCUUGGGCUUUCUAUUACAAACUACUUAGUCAUGCAUAAGCUAUCAAAUGGUAGUAGAACUUAUGUCAGUUAGAUCAUGCAGAGCCAAAAGGACAGCUUCUGUUAAUAAAUGGGAGGACAGAAGAUGAAGUUGCAAGGAGCUUAGAAAGGGUGUUGCUUACAAUGCGAAUAAGCACCUCAGAGCCUAACUGAUAAGGCAUUAGCUAUGCAAUCAAAAGUUGACUACCUAGUCUCCCUAGGAUUACAUCUAACACCUAGGUGCUUAACCAGUUGCUUAAAUGGGAAACGCCUCAGGUUUUCUCUAUUUGAUGUUCAAAAUUGUGAUGAGUUGUCUGGUUUGUGUUUUUGGAACAACAGUAACAAGGAAGCCCUGUCCUGCUUAUUCAUAGACAAGGUUAAUUUGUUCCCCUUGGAACAGCUGUGGAUAAAACCAGCAUUUGCAUAUUGGAUGAGAACAUGCUCUGUCCAGCAUUUGCUUAAGUUGGAAUUUAAAGGACAUGUCGUUCUACUGUGCAGGAUUUGAUUCCCAUAGAAGAACCAUAAAAUAAUUUAGUGAAUGUUUUUUUUAUUUGGUGACAGGAUUAGGUAUGUUUUUGCACAACAAAGUCCAAUACUAGUAACUAGAUUUGGUUUUGGCAUGGACAGGCAAGGGUAAUCAAACAUUCAUGAGAAUCCACUGGAACUUAGAAGAACAUGGAAGCUUCAUGACAAAGAACAAUUGACAAGCUUAACUUGGAUUCUCCUUCCCACAGAAAUGUGAAUUGAUACGACUCCUUGUGCAGCAAGUACUGGAACUCCUAAUAAUUUGGAUUUGGUUCAAAAGUAGUUGCAAUUCUCAUUUAUCACGCAUCCAGAGCCUCUAUUCUCUCCUUACCACAGAAUUUUGCAUCUUGUGAACAGUGUUUUGGUGUUAGAAAAUCUAUUAAGGGCCUAGUUGUGUCAAACAGAACUAGCACCUUUGAUUAGCCUAUGUAGUAGAAAAUGUAUGUAGUCCGUUGGCACUCGGCAGUGACCUUCUAAACUAGGCUGGGCCAUUCAUGCGCUUAAGUAAAAAAAAAGAUUGUAAUAUUUAUUCCCCUUAUCUUCUUUUACCUUUUUUGUAUUUUUUUUCUUUUUUUAUUUUCUUUUUGCUCUCUUUCCAGUUCUUCUUCGUUUUCUUUUCUUUCAUUUACUGUUUUUUUGGCUCACCUCGGCACUUUUCAUUUCCCUAACUUAGCGCUUUUGACUACUUACUGUCUACCUCAUUAUUUGAGAGAGCGAGAAGGUGACUCUAUUUCCAAAUAAAAUACUUGGAACAUACUUGUACAUGCAUGGAGUACAUCUAGUGCAUAUGCAUACAUAUGUUUACACUACUUCUUGUUAGCACAAAUUGGCAGGGGACACGCUUAAAAAACAGGUUUGUGGAUGCUGGAUAAUUUUUUCUGGUUGUUUCUCUAUCCUUAACUUGGAGCACUAUAACAUUGUGGGCAUUUUGAAAAUCCCAUUUGUGAUCAAGCCUUAAUAUUGCCUUUGAUGGCUGCAGUUUAUUUUGGUUAUCAGCCAAUGGUGUUGGAUGAAAAAAUGUAAAUGGGAUGCUGUAGAAGGUAGGAGACAGGUUUGAGGAACUACAUGAAACAAAAUAUGAGGAAAUUGUGAGUGGUUAAGCGACAAUCUGGAAAUUAAUAAUGGCUAAGUAGGUUCCAUGGCAGUAUUCUUGCUUUCUUUAUAUGUUGAAAACAUUCUGAAAUUAUCAUGCCAUUUUUCAUGUUUUGCUAAAUGUUGGGAAGCUAGGACCGUGGUGCUCUUGUGUGGUGCUCUUGUUUGCAGCUGUUUCAUGUGAAAACAAGUGAUAUUUAUUGAAUUGAAUACCAUGCAAUUAUCACAUUUAGAAUAUUGUUCCAUGCUGUUGCCUUGUGCCCUUGUUCAUAAGGCCAUCUAUGUAUGUUGAUUGCUAACUUUACUGUCUUAUGUUGCUGCUUGAUUUUGCUUGAGUUUUUUUGAGUUUUAGUUAGUUUCAGUUUAGUAGUGAAUGCAGUUGGAUUAAGAUUUGUUAAUCUUAAUUCUUCUUGCAUUAAUUGGUAUUGGAGCGAGGUUUUUACAAACAUGAGAGACCAAGUUCAACAAACCUUGCUGUCAUCCCUACAGUGUGUUCCUACCCUGCGCAUGGCUGUAAAAGAUGCAAAAGAUAUGGAACGGGCAAAAGAUUAUGCUGCUACAGAAAAGGAUUUUGCAGAGUUUGCAUCCAAAGUAAAUGAUGUUUCUGGUUUAAUCUUCUAUCCUGAAAGGCAUGUCUCUGCAUGUCUCUGUUAAGAUAGAGGAGAUGAUGGGGCAUGACACUCAACUUGGGUAUAUGAGAGGUUUUGUGUGUUCAAUUAAUGUACUAGUAGCUUGGUAAUGAAAUGGGCAAUAUAUUACAAGCCAAGAAAUAUAACAAGAGAUGUCAAGCUUUUAGUUUGAAAUAGUUCAUAAAUCAUCCAUCAACUCAUAAGCUUGAGUGCUCGUGUUGUGCAAAUAAUAUGUCUUUCAUUUACUCGCAUUACUGUACAAGCAUCAAGAUCACAUAAUUGUUGUUGAAUCUCUAGAAGAGAUCUCUCCCAAUUUCCAAAAUAUGAACAUAAAGGAAUGGUCCUCAACAUCUUAGGAAAUAAAAAAGAGGAGUAGAAUUGACUCCAAAAUUACACAUCUGCAAAAGACUGUCGCAUUCAAUUUCUGCAAGUUCAGCCAUCAUGGAGUUUUGUUUUUUUUUUUCUUUUGUUUUUUU
This is a long non-coding RNA of Nymphaea colorata (pocket water lily), 5152 nucleotides long. RefSeq lists it as uncharacterized. Lineage: Eukaryota; Viridiplantae; Streptophyta; Magnoliopsida; Nymphaeales; Nymphaeaceae. The transcript has 16 exons. The record is from RefSeq and is a predicted model, not a curated record.